CCUACGGUGGGCAGCAGUGGGGAAUAUUGCACAAUGGGGGAAACCCUGAUGCAGCGACGCCGCGUGAGUGAAGAAGUAUUUCGGUAUGUAAAGCUCUAUCAGCAGGGAAGAAAAUGACGGUACCUGAUUCAGAAGCCCCGGCUAACUACGUGCCAGCAGCCGCGGUAAUACGUAGGGGGCAAGCGUUAUCCGGAUUUACUGGGUGUAAAGGGAGCGUAGACGGCAGCACAAGUCUGGAGUGAACUGCCGGGGCUUAACCCCGGAACUGCAUUGGAAACUGUGCAGCUAGAGUACAGGAGAGGUAAGUGGAAUUCCGAGUGUAGCGGUGAAAUGCGUAGAUAUUAGGAGGAACACCAGUGGCGAAGGCGGCUUACUGGACUGUAACUGACGUUGAGGCUCGAAAGCGUGGGGAGCAAACAGGAUUAGAUACCCGAGUAGUC
RNAcentral lists this ribosomal RNA (440 nucleotides) under uncultured bacterium. RNAcentral's name for it is "partial 16S ribosomal RNA". It matches the Rfam family "Bacterial small subunit ribosomal RNA", at positions 338 to 795 of the family's 1533-position model. The record is from RNAcentral.